GCUAAAAAUCUAGCCCAUCUACGCUAAAUACACCUUAUUAAUUAAUUAAUUUCAACUAAAACAUUUUCACAUCUUAGUAAAGGCGAUUGAAAAAUUAUUUGGAGCUAUAAUAAUAGUACCGCAAGGGAAAGAUGAAAUAAAAAUGAAAUAAACAUCAAGCACAAAAAAGUAAAGAUUUGCCUUGUACCUUUUGCAUCAUGGUUUAGCUAGUUAAAUUAAGCAAAACGACUUAUAGUUUAACUUCCCGAAACUAGGCGAGCUACUUCGAGGCAGCUUACUGAGCAAACCCGUCUCUGUUGCAAAAGAGUGGGAAGACCUUUAAGUAGAGGUGACAAGCCUAACGAGCUUAGUGAUAGCUGGUUACUUAAUAAAAGGAUUUUAGUCCAACCUAAAGUUUAAAUAAUAUAAAUAACAUAACAAAAUCGCUUUAGAGUAAUUCAAAUAAGGUACAGCCUAUUUGAAAAAGGAGACAACCUAAAAAGAUGGGUAAUUACUAGCGGCAAUGACCAAGUAGGCUUAAAAGCAGCCACCUUAAAGACAGCGUCAAAGCUCCAUUAUCCCCGCCCCCGAUACCUCAAACAAACCAGAACCCUCCUCCUCCAAUAAGUACUUCUAUAAUUCUAUAGAACAUUUUAUGUUAAAACUAGUAACAAGAAGAAGAACUUCACUUAAAUGCAAGUGUAAAUCAGAAAGGACCUACCACUGACUUUUAUCAUACAUGCAAACAAAUUAAUAAAUUAUCAAGAAAAAUUUAAUUUUAGCUAUGUUAAUCUAACACAAGAGCAUUUCAAGUACGAUUUAACGAAAAAGAAGGAACUCGGCAAAUAUUAACCUCGCCUGUUUACCAAAAACAUCGCCUCUUGACAAAAUAUAAGAGGUCCAGCCUGCCCAGUGACUUUGUUCAACGGCCGCGGUAUCCUAACCGUGCGAAGGUAGCGUAAUCACUUGUUCUUUAAAUGAGGACCAGUAUGAAUGGCAUCACGAAGGUUACACUGUCUCCUUUUUCCAAUCAGUGAAACUAAUCUCCCCGUGAAGAAGCGGGGAUAAACCUAUAAGACGAGAAGACCCUAUGGAGCUUUAAACUAAAUAACACUUGCUUUUACACAAUCUGCCUCCAGAGCAACUUCCACUUACUUUAGCCUCCUGAUUAUUAGUUUUAGGUUGGGGUGACCGCGGAGUAAAAAAUAACCUCCACAUUGAAUGGGAGAAUUCCCCUGAGCCGCGAACUACAACUCUAAGCACCAAUAAAUUGACAUCAAUUGACCCAAUAUAUUGAUCAACGAACCAAGUUACCCUAGGGAUAACAGCGCAAUCCGCUUUAAGAGCCCCUAUCGACAAGCGGGUUUACGACCUCGAUGUUGGAUCAGGGUAUCCCAGUGGUGCAGCCGCUACUAAAGGUUCGUUUGUUCAACGAUUAAAACCCUACGUGAUCUGAU
This 1436-nucleotide ribosomal RNA is filed under the name Dryophytes cinereus (green tree frog). RNAcentral describes it as "partial 16S ribosomal RNA". It matches the Rfam family "Bacterial large subunit ribosomal RNA", at positions 157 to 2609 of the family's 2925-position model. Lineage: Eukaryota; Metazoa; Chordata; Amphibia; Anura; Hylidae. The record is from RNAcentral.